RNAcentral lists this long non-coding RNA (944 nucleotides) under Sorghum bicolor (sorghum). RNAcentral describes it as "long non-coding RNA (SBIC_LNC007707)". Lineage: Eukaryota; Viridiplantae; Streptophyta; Magnoliopsida; Poales; Poaceae. The record is from RNAcentral.
AGUUUCUCUCACAACCACUAGAUGAAACACAUUGUGAAACAAUACGCAAUGCAUACUUCUGCAACGUAGGCACUUCUCCUCCAAACUGAAACCACCAAUCAGCUACCAAAAUAAGAAUGGAAGUCAGCCACAAGAUGGUCCCUAAACCUUGUUGCACCUCCACCUUUGUUUGUAGUCCCACAGUACCCACAUUUGAAACCCUGACCAGCAAGCUUUGAGCCAUGCAUCCACACCUUGUUAAUGUCUCCAUCAUUAUGGUCUACAUUCCAGAAGCAAAAAUACCAGAAAUUAAAAACAUGGAAACUUAAUUAACAAUUUCAAAAUUUUGUCUAGAGCAAUGCAAGUUUUUCUAAUCAUAGCAAUCCACAAACAUUUAAUAAAAAUAUAAACCUAAAGAACAGAUUUAUAUACAAUCAGUAUACUAAAUAGGCAGCUAAGCCACUUAGCAGUUUUGCAAAAAAUAAAAAACAAAAAACAAAACCUGAUGAAAUAUAAACUUCACUAAUUUAUCAGUCAUCAGUUCAUGAAAGAAUCACUUAAAAAAAUAACAUGUCCAUUGGACCAUUAGUCAUCAUUUCAUCACAAGAACACUGCCUGCAGAACAUACUUGGCAUACACUGAAAUUCUAGAUAGAACACUGCAACGGUCCAAGACAACAACAAAAAGGUCCAUCAAAAAAUUAUAGCCUACAAGACAUAUCUAGCAGAAAGUAGAAGUCUAAACAUGGCUGCCAGAGAUACCUCAACUUUUAUGAUAUAAAAUAAUAAAUCUAACUGGGUCAUGCUUAAAUUUGAUGAUACAAUAUUAAUAGAACCACCACGCUAGCUAUAGCUUCAUGAAGUGUAUUGUACCACAAAUAAACUGAUCUAUACAUACAAAUCAGAGAUAUGCAGUUAUGAUUUCUAUCAAUAUAAAACAGGGUACUCUGUUUUACAUAUACCUUG